AGACGGAGGGUGCAAACGUUGUUCGGAAUUACUGGGCAUAAAGCGCACGUAGGCGGCUAGGUCAGUCCGUUGUGAAAGCCCUCGGCUCAACCGGGGAACUGCAAUGGAUACUGCCUGGCUCGAGGACGGUUGGGGUGAGUGGAACUCCUGGUGGAGCGGUGAAAUGCGUAGAUAUCAGGAGGAACACCAGUGGCGAAAGCGGCUCACUGGACCGUAUCUGACGCUGAGGUGCGAAAGCUAGGGUAGCGAACGGGAUUAGAAACCCCGGUAGUCC
This 274-nucleotide ribosomal RNA is filed under the name uncultured bacterium. Its description in RNAcentral is "partial 16S ribosomal RNA". It matches the Rfam family "Bacterial small subunit ribosomal RNA", at positions 523 to 796 of the family's 1533-position model. The record is from RNAcentral.